AUGUUUCCUGUAUAAUUAUAUUUCGUAGAGAAGUUAAGGCGGUGGCUAUCUCUUAAAAAUGGAGGUGGUGCUUAUGGUUAAAAAACUAUUCGCGCUACUCCAUAUUCUUAAAUGAAGGAGUAGCUUAGUAUCCAUUUGGGGUGCGUUACAAUUAAUGCUAAUUUUUGGUACUUUUGUGAUUAAUUUGAUCGCACUAG
Molecule: small RNA, 197 nt
Filed under: Lactobacillus acetotolerans
Lineage: Bacteria; Bacillati; Bacillota; Bacilli; Lactobacillales; Lactobacillaceae
Description: Listeria sRNA rli28
Rfam family: Listeria sRNA rli28
Source: Rfam by way of RNAcentral